UAAUUGAUGUGAUAUGAAUACAAAAUCAAAUGAAGUACACGUAACAUGCAAGAGAAUCCAAUCAAGUACUUAUCAGAGCUUGUAAAAUGCACUUGAUUACCUUGGUUUCAGAGCUUGUAAAAUGCACUUGAUUACCUUGGUUUCAGAGCUUGUAAAAUAUACUCAGAAGCAUUUGAUGGCAGGGUAUGAAGCAACUUGUUUAGGCCACCCCUAAUUCAAAAAGAAAUAAUUAGGAAUAGAAAGUUUAACAUGAAUAAUGCAANAAGCAACACUGACAAUUGCCUACAUAAACUAAAUAGAAUAAAACUAUAAACUAUAUAACUCAUUUGAACACAAUCCGAUACUAUAAUAUUUGAAAAUACUGCAAUUUGAACUACAAUUAUUGAUUGGAAAAACAAAAAGAUUGAGAUACCUUCGAAAGAUGAUGGCAGAGUAUGGUAAGUAAGGAAGCAUGCUUCCAAUUCCUUUUCAUUGUUUCGGCUUGGGACAAUAUAAAUUGNGUACCUAUUCAAUGAUGAAAAUUCAGUAUAACAUUUAUAUGUACUAUGGAAAUUAACUGAGGCUAAUCAUUUGAUACAAAGUAACAUAAACAAGAUACGAUGAUCAACCACAUUAUGACACGACAUGAUUCAGUUCAGUUAAAUACCAAAUCUUUAGAGAUAGCAACAAACUAUGCUCACCAAGAAACAACCAUCCAACUUGUUGGGGAAAGAUCCACACUCUUCAAUGNCAAAAAUGUAGGAUGGGUUGGAGCUAACUCAUCAACCUGAAACACAAAAACCAAAAACAAUNUAACAGGUGAUUGUAGUGACACACAAAUCCAAAGUUAUACAUAUUUAAUUUUGUGAAUUUUAUACUGCACAUAUUAUACAUAUUUGAAUGUCGUCCUGAAGAACCAGAUGAUGAUAUAACGCGGUAGGUGAAUGAUAUGAAGGUAUUUUCACGUGACGUAGCUAACCUAGGAGCUUAAAUAAAUAAAAACACGUUAUUAUACGCAGGGGACACAUUUCUCCACUCUUAGUUCAAUAGCAGUAGAAAAAUGGGUCUUGCAUUAAAUUAGAUAAAGACCNAGGUUUUGAUAACUAUGUAAACAUCAUAUUCAUGUUGUGUAUGUAAAUAGACAAAUAUUGAUUGAUAAAAUGCAUAUACAUGUUCUCUCUGUUACAAGGUUUUCAUAAUUGGAAUAGAAAAACAUCAACUAGAAACAUCAAAGAGCCCUAGUAAAACAUCAAUAACAUUCAAAAUAUUUCUAUCAUAGUGAUAUAAGUACAAAUAUAUUUGGAGGUGCGGAAUNNN
This 1296-nucleotide long non-coding RNA is filed under the name Vigna radiata. Its description in RNAcentral is "long non-coding RNA (VRAD_LNC017961)". The record is from RNAcentral. Lineage: Eukaryota; Viridiplantae; Streptophyta; Magnoliopsida; Fabales; Fabaceae.